AUAUCAAUAAGCGGAGGAAAAGAAACCAACAGGGAUUGCCUCAGUAACGGCGAGUGAAGUGGCAACAGCUCAAAUUUGAAAUCUGGCUUCUUUGAAGUCCGAAUUGUAAUUUGUAGAGGAUGUUUCGGCUCUGGCUCUGGUCUAAGUUCCUUGGAACAGGACGUCAUAGAGGGUGAGAAUCCCGUAUGCGAUUGGAAGCCAGUGGCCAUGUGAAACUCCUUCGACGAGUCGAGUUGUUUGGGAAUGCAGCUCAAAAUGGGUGGUAAAUUUCAUCUAAAGCUAAAUACUGGCCAGAGACCGAUAGCGCACAAGUAGAGUGAUCGAAAGAUGAAAAGCACUUUGGAAAGAGAGUUAAACAGUACGUGAAAUUGUUGAAAGGGAAGCGCUUGCAAUCAGACUUGCUUGCAGUCGAUCAUCUGGUGUUCUCACCAGUGCACUCGGUUGUGAUCAGGCCAGCAUCAGUUUGGACGGUUGGAUAAAGACCUUGGGAAUGUAGCUUCUUUCGAGGAGUGUUAUAGCCCCUGGUGCAAUGCAAUCAGUCUGGACUGAGGACCGCGCUUCGGCUAGGAUGCUGGCGUAAUGGUUGUAAGCGA
This 593-nucleotide ribosomal RNA is filed under the name uncultured fungus. Its description in RNAcentral is "eukaryotic LSU rRNA". It matches the Rfam family "Eukaryotic large subunit ribosomal RNA", at positions 40 to 647 of the family's 3401-position model. Lineage: Eukaryota; Fungi. The record is from RNAcentral.